This 2255-nucleotide long non-coding RNA is filed under the name Fragaria vesca (wild strawberry). RNAcentral's name for it is "long non-coding RNA (FVES_LNC000453)". Lineage: Eukaryota; Viridiplantae; Streptophyta; Magnoliopsida; Rosales; Rosaceae. The record is from RNAcentral.
GGACAGUGAAGAGGAGGAGGGAUCGGGGCUGGAGCAGAACGGAGAUGGCUUGAGGAGGAGGCUCGAGGACGGCUCGAGGAGGCUGUGGAGGGCUCGAGGAGGCGGUGGAGGCUGUGGAGCGCGAUGAGGGCUCGAGGAGGCGAUGGUGGGUUUUUUAGGGUUUUUUGGAGCGCUGUGGAGGCUGUCGAGCGCUGGGUUUAAUUAUAUACCCUAUAUCUUUAGCCAACGAAAUUUUUAUUUCGUCGGCUAAACCUGUGAAUCUCGUCGGCUAAAGUAAUGAAAUUCGUCGGCUAUAGUACUUUUUAUUUAAUAUUUUCAAUUUAUUUGUUUUAUAUUAUUUUAUUAACUAUAACCGACGAAUUUUCAAUAAUGUCGUCCGCUAUAGUACUUUUUAUACAUUCGGCACAUUGUGAUUGUGAUGAUCAAACUUGAGAAACAAAAAUCCGACCGUCAGAUCUGACCAUCAUAAUAAAAUACAUGUAUGGGAAAAAAUUCAACUUGAUCCGACAAGAUUAAGGGCUCGAUCCGGACGGUCAAUCCCGUAAGUCAAACCCCUAAACGCACAGAAAAGGUCAUUGGACAGUCUAAAUUACGUAUUUUGGCCGGACCUUCAACUUAAAAUAGUUUCAAAUCGAUGAGACGCAACAAGUCGUAUAAAAAUUUUACGGAAAAUAACCACUGAAGAUAGGGCUACCCAUAGGGAGAAAGAAUGAAAAAUUGCAUUGACCGCAACUAUCGGCAGUGAGACUUUACCGAAAUACCGUGAUUUUUCAACCGUAGAUGUAUUUCACCAUUCCGGUCAUAUCUUAUUUCACGACAUUUUUGUGUUUGAAGGAUCUACGUAUAGUUUGUUUUUGAAACGAAACAUUUACUUAACACUUGGUAAACAAGUUAUACAACAUUAGUAGGCAUGUUGUGAUUGUGAUGAUCAAACUUGAGAAAUGAAAAUCCGACCGUCAGAUCUAACCAUCAUGAUAAAAUACAUGUAUGGGAAAAAAUUCAACAUGAUCCGACAAGGUUAAGAGCUCAAUCCGGACGGUUAAUCCCGUAAGUGAAACCCCUAAACGCACGAAAAAGGUCAUUGGACCGUCUAAAUUACGUAUUUUGGCCAGACCUUCAACUGAAAAUAGUUUCAAAUCGAUGAGAUGCAACAAGUCGUAUAUUAGGGUAUUCGUCGGCUAAGGUUUAGGGUUUAGGGUUUAGCCGACGAAAUAUUAGGGUAUUCGUCGGCUAAACUUUUAUAUAAACGUCGGCUAAAGUUCACAGACUAUAGCCGAUGAAAAAAUUUCUUUAGCCGACGAAAUUUUAUAGUUGACCAUAGCCGACAAAAAUUUAAAUUAGUUGACGAAGGAAAAUUUCAUCGGCUAACGUGGACUUUAACCGACGAAAAAAUAAUUUAUCGGCCUGGUUUUUUUAGUUUCGUCGGCUAAAGCCUUUCUUCUGGUAGUGUGCCCCCAAUAGACCCUUCGACGAACCCUUAUUGCCCACAAUAUGAGGUUCUACUAGCCCCAAUAAGAGGUCUUAUUGACCCCAAUAGGUGGUCAUACUGCCCCCAAUAGAAACCCCCGACGAACCCCCUACUUCCCCGAAUAAACCCCAGAAGAAACACCGGUCGCCGGAGUCCAGUCAACGGUUGUCGAAGUCUGUCAACGUCGUUGGAUCCCGAUCAACGGUCACUGGAGUCACGGUCAAUGGUCAUCGGUUGCGAGAAUUCGGUCAUAGAUAUUUAUUUUAAAAUAGACAGUCUAUUGUUCUUAUAAUGGUCUAUUGUAAUUUAUUUAAAUCAUUAAAGAUAUAAUUGUCUUUUUCCUGUUUAAGUUAGCUUUUGAAAAUUUAAAAUCUGAUUUUGUUGGUGGGAAUAAAAUUCUUAAAAUUAGGGCUAAUGGGCAUUAUCUCUUAUUUCUACUUUAAGUGGAAAAUAAUGCCCUACUAUAAACAAAGAACUUAAAAUGAAAACUUUGGUGCUGCUCUAGCUUCUGCUCCAUUAAUUCGGUGAUAGUAAUCUCCUCGAGAUGCUCUUAUGCUCUAUCUACUCUGGUCUUUGUUUAUUCACUUGGCAAUCUUCAUCUUCUUCAUCCUUCUAUCAUGUUCAAAAUGUUGUGAGCUUCUUCUUCAUUAAGAUUCUCUCAGUAGUGACCAUCUGCAUCAUCAGCUUCCAUUGUUGCUAACAUAUUCAAGCCUGCUUUAUGGAGUUGCUCAUAAACCUCUUUGGUGGUCUUAUAUUUCUUGAUAUUUGAUUCUGAUUUAGGGCGGCU